GAUGAACGCUGGCGGCGUGCCUAAUACAUGCAAGUCGAGCGAACGGACGAGAAGCUUGCUUCUCUGAUGUUAGCGGCGGACGGGUGAGUAACACGUGGAUAACCUACCUAUAAGACUGGGAUAACUUCGGGAAACCGGAGCUAAUACCGGAUAAUAUUUUUAACCGUAUGGUUCAAAAGUGAAAGACGGUAUUGCUGUCACUUAUAGAUGGAUCCGCGCUUCAUUAGCUAGUUGGUAAGGUAACGGUUUACCAAGGCAACGAUGCAUAGCCGACCUGAGAGGGGGAUCGGCCACACUGGAACUGAGAAACGGCCCAGCCUCCUACGGGAGGAAGCAGUAGGGAAUCUUCCGCAAUGGGCGAAAGCCUGACGGAGCAACGCCGCGUGGUGGAUGAAGUUCUUCGGAUCGUAAAACUUUGUUAUUAGGGAAGACCAUAUGUGUAAGUAACUGUGCACAUCUUGACGGUACCUAAUCAGAAAGCCACGGCUAACUACGUG
This 497-nucleotide ribosomal RNA is filed under the name uncultured bacterium. Its description in RNAcentral is "partial 16S ribosomal RNA". It matches the Rfam family "Bacterial small subunit ribosomal RNA", at positions 28 to 507 of the family's 1533-position model. The record is from RNAcentral.